This 432-nucleotide ribosomal RNA is filed under the name Leptotrichia sp. oral taxon 215. RNAcentral describes it as "bacterial SSU rRNA". It matches the Rfam family "Bacterial small subunit ribosomal RNA", at positions 28 to 476 of the family's 1533-position model. The record is from RNAcentral. Lineage: Bacteria; Fusobacteriati; Fusobacteriota; Fusobacteriia; Fusobacteriales; Leptotrichiaceae.
GAUGAACGCUGACAGAAUGCUUAACACAUGCAAGUCGAUGGGGAAGUGGUGCUUGCACCAUGGUAACCAUGGCGGACGGGUGAGUAACGCGUAAGGAACUUGCCUGCGGGACCGGGAUAACAGCAGGAAACUGCUGACAAGACCGGAUAAGGUCAUGAAGCUGCAUAGCUUAGUGAUGAAAGGAGACGCCUGCGGAGAGCCUUGCGUCCUAUUAGCUAGUUGGAGGGGUAACGGCCCACCAAGGCGAAGAUAGGUAGCCGGCCUGAGAGGGUGGACGGCCACAAGGGGACUGAGAUACGGCCCUUACUCCUACGGGAGGCAGCAGUGGGGAAUAUUGGACAAUGGGGGCAACCCUGAUCCAGCAAUUCUGUGUGCACGAAGACGGUUUUCGGAUUGUAAAGUGCUUUCAGCAGAGAAGAAGGAAGUGACGGU